GAGAAUUUAGUAAAAUAAUAUAUUACAUCACUUUGUCAAAGUGAAAUCAAAGGUGAGACCCCUUUAAUUCUCG
Molecule: transfer RNA, 73 nt
Filed under: Hylomys suillus microtinus
Lineage: Eukaryota; Metazoa; Chordata; Mammalia; Eulipotyphla; Erinaceidae
Description: tRNA-Asp
Rfam family: tRNA
About the family: Transfer RNA (tRNA) molecules are approximately 80 nucleotides in length.
Source: RNAcentral